Molecule: unclassified non-coding RNA, 333 nt
Organism: Dipodomys ordii (Ord's kangaroo rat)
Lineage: Eukaryota; Metazoa; Chordata; Mammalia; Rodentia; Heteromyidae
Gene: 7SK
Rfam family: 7SK RNA
About the family: 7SK was discovered as an abundant small nuclear RNA in the mid-70s but a possible function has only recently been suggested. Two independent studies have found that 7SK RNA binds the CDK9/cyclin T complex (known as elongation factor P-TEFb).
Source: Ensembl
GGAUGGGAAGGCAGUCUGGUGGUGACAUCUGUCAACCUGCUGACUGCCAGGGUUGAUUGGGAUGCUCUGGUUGUCUAGGCAGGUGUCUCCUUCCUCCUGUUCCAUGGAUGACUCUCCUGAAGCCACAUGCUUUGUUGGAGAUAGCCUUCUCUGACAAAGAAUCAUCCUUGGUCAAGGGUAAACAAGUAGCUGUGCUCCUUCCUCCAACAGAAUUUCCAAACAAGCUCUCAAGAAACAACUGGAAAGCUGCACUACAGCUAGCAGUUGGAAAUCUAGUUGAAAACCAAGUCAGUCUAUAUAGUUGUGAAUUCCCUAUUCUAGAACUUAGAAUUU